GGGGGUGUAGCUCAAUGCUAGAGCACUUCCCUACCAUGUGUGGGGCCCUGGGUUCAAUCCCCAGCACCUUGC
Molecule: transfer RNA, 72 nt
Filed under: Marmota marmota marmota (Alpine marmot)
Lineage: Eukaryota; Metazoa; Chordata; Mammalia; Rodentia; Sciuridae
Also listed under: 2 other names
Rfam family: tRNA
About the family: Transfer RNA (tRNA) molecules are approximately 80 nucleotides in length. Their secondary structure includes four short double-helical elements and three loops (D, anti-codon, and T loops). Further hydrogen bonds mediate the characteristic L-shaped molecular structure. tRNAs have two regions of fundamental functional importance: the anti-codon, which is responsible for specific mRNA codon recognition, and the 3' end, to which the tRNAs corresponding amino acid is attached (by aminoacyl-tRNA synthetases). tRNAs cope with the degeneracy of the genetic code in two manners: having more than one tRNA (with a specific anti-codon) for a particular amino acid; and 'wobble' base-pairing, i.e. permitting non-standard base-pairing at the 3rd anti-codon position.
Source: Rfam by way of RNAcentral